RNAcentral lists this ribosomal RNA (466 nucleotides) under uncultured bacterium. Its description in RNAcentral is "partial 16S ribosomal RNA". It matches the Rfam family "Bacterial small subunit ribosomal RNA", at positions 28 to 507 of the family's 1533-position model. The record is from RNAcentral.
GAUGAACGCUGGCGGCGUGCUUAACACAUGCAAGUCGAACGGAAAGGCCCAAGCUUGCUUGGGUACUCGAGUGGCGAACGGGUGAGUAACACGUGGGUGAUCUGCCCUGCACUUCGGGAUAAGCCUGGGAAACUGGGUCUAAUACCGGAUAGGACCACAUUUUGGAUGGUGUGGUGGAAAGUUUUUCGGUGUGGGAUGAGCUCGCGGCCUAUCAGCUUGUUGGUGGGGUAAUGGCCUACCAAGGCGUCGACGGGUAGCCGGCCUGAGAGGGUGUACGGCCACAUUGGGACUGAGAUACGGCCCAGACUCCUACGGGAGGCAGCAGUGGGGAAUAUUGCACAAUGGGCGCAAGCCUGAUGCAGCGACGCCGCGGUGGGGAUGACGGCCUUCGGGUUGUAAACUCCUUUCGCUAGGGACGAAGCGUUAUGUGACGGUACCUUGAGAAGAAGCACCGGCUAACUACGUG